This 621-nucleotide ribosomal RNA is filed under the name uncultured bacterium. RNAcentral's name for it is "bacterial SSU rRNA". It matches the Rfam family "Bacterial small subunit ribosomal RNA", at positions 395 to 1008 of the family's 1533-position model. The record is from RNAcentral.
UACCGCGUGUGUGAAGAAGGCCUGAGGGUUGUAAAGCACUUUCAAUAGGGAGGAAAAAGCGUUGGUUAAUAGCUGAUGCCUUGACAUUACCUAUAGAAGAAGCACCGGCUAACUCCGUGCCAGCAGCCGCGGUAAUACGGAGGGUGCGAGCGUUAAUCGGAAUUACUGGGCGUAAAGCGUGCGUAGGCGGCUGUUUAAGUCAGAUGUGAAAGCCCCGGGCUUAACCUGGGAACGGCAUUUGAUACUGGGCAGCUAGAGUUUAGGAGAGGAGAGUGGAAUUUCCGGUGUAGCGGUGAAAUGCGUAGAGAUCGGAAGGAACACCAGUGGCGAAGGCGGCUCUCUGGCCUAAAACUGACGCUGAGGUACGAAAGCGUGGGUAGCAAACAGGAUUAGAUACCCUGGUAGUCCACGCCGUAAACGAUGUCAACUAGCCGUUGGGUCUUUAUUAAGACUUAGUGGUGCAGCUAACGCAUUAAGUUGACCGCCUGGGGAGUACGGCCGCAAGGUUAAAACUCAAAUGAAUUGACGGGGGCCCGCACAAGCGGUGGAGCAUGUGGUUUAAUUCGAUGCAACGCGAAGAACCUUACCUACCCUUGACAUCCAGAGAAUCUGUGAGAGAUC